GAUGAACGCUAGCGGCAGGCUUAACACAUGCAAGUCGAGGGGUAUUGGUUUUUGGACCAAGAGACCGGCGCACGGGUGCGUAACGCGUAUGCAAUCUACCUUUUGCAGAGGGAUAGCCCAGAGAAAUUUGGAUUAAUACCUCAUAGUAUAUAGAGUUGGCAUCAACAUUAUAUUAAAGUCACAACGGCAAAAGAUGAGCAUGCGUCCCAUUAGCUAGUUGGUAAGGUAACGGCUUACCAAGGCGACGAUGGGUAGGGGUCCUGAGAGGGAGAUCCCCCACACUGGUACUGAGACACGGACCAGACUCCUACGGGAGGCAGCAGUGAGGAAUAUUGGACAAUGGGCGCAAGCCUGAUCCAGCCAUGCCGCGUGCAGGAUGACGGUCCUAUGGAUUGUAAACUGCUUUUGUACAGGAAGAAACACUCCCUCGUGAGGGAGCUUGACGGUACUGUAAGAAUAAGGAUCGGCUAACUCCGUGCCAGCAGCCGCGG
Molecule: ribosomal RNA, 491 nt
Filed under: uncultured bacterium
Lineage: Bacteria
Description: bacterial SSU rRNA
Rfam family: Bacterial small subunit ribosomal RNA
Source: RNAcentral